This is a non-coding RNA of Sturnus vulgaris (Common starling), 1324 nucleotides long. Lineage: Eukaryota; Metazoa; Chordata; Aves; Passeriformes; Sturnidae. The record is from RefSeq and is a predicted model, not a curated record.
UAUCCUUAGUAGUACUAUUUGCACACAGGCUUUUACUCCUCUGGAUGUUGCUCAAAACAAGAUCUGGCUGGGCAUAAUCCAGAGGAGGGGAUCAAAGCUGGUGAUCACUGUGUGUCACUCACAGCUAAACUGUUCUGUUCUUGUUGGUUUCUAUUUUUGAGUGAGGACUUCCUUUUUCCUCUCCUUUUUUUAAGGACAGCCACUCCAGCCUGUUCUGAAAGAGAAUGCAGAUUUCUCAUGCAGUCUAAGUACUUUGUACAGCUUUGUACAGUGAUGUAAAAACUACUUGGCCCAUUCUUUUGUGUCUCUGACUCCAGAGUCUUGCAUCUAUUCCUUCUGCUUUAGAUCUAAUCUAGGACACUGUUUCUGGAUUUCCCUCAAGAUUCCAGUAGCAUUCUCAGAUUCAUGCCAUGAUUUACCAGCCUCUGAGAGCAAGGCAGGCCUCUUUUAUUCUCAUGGCUUUCAGAAACUUGAAAUAUAUCUAUAUAUGUAUUUUUUUUUAAUUCCUGUCCCCUCCCAGCUGUGUGCACCUGCUUUCUAAUUGCAGCAUCUGCCAACUACAUUACUUUCUAGAGAUUUCACUGCCCAGGUUGCCACCAACCAGCUGCUCUAAUGAAGAAUCCAGAUGUCUGAAGCACUGCCUGGAAGGUCUUAAGUAAAAUGGAGAAUAGUCCCAAGUGGAAAUACUUUAACCUUAUAAAUAUCUCUGGCUGCAAACAUUGUUCUUAAUACUGAAGAUUCUGUGAUGUCAUUGCUCUUACCUGUCAUUUCUAGGCAUUUGUCUUCAUUAUUUGGGAUUCUCUACUGUGUAAGAUCCUGUUCUGCCAUAAAAGCAGGGAAUAGGCAGUAGCUGUAGAGAGAAUGACCUGAUGUAUCAAAGACAAUGACAUUUCACUGUUGGUGGCUUCAGUGUUUCAGUUUAUUUUGUAACUGUGUUAGAUUUUGAGGCAGGGCUUGUUUCUUUCAUUUCCCAUUCUUCUUCAGAAGGACACCAAAAGGCAGAGCUUCUUAUGUUUUCCACUUCUUUUCUCAUUUUAAGUGAUGAGGCAACAAAUAGGAUUUUUAAAGAUGUUGGAUCAUCUGUCUGGAAAAAAAUAUAUAUUGGGAACUGAAUAAAAACCCCACACCACAAAGAUAUAAAUUUUAGGAUAUAAUUGUUUGCAUCCAGCUAGUAACAUGGUAAAGAGUUAGGGCAUCUAUUGAUUACUUGAGAUUUUCCUCACAUGUCUUAGUUUGCUUAUUAAGUUGGGGGAAAAUAUUCUCUUCUUAAAAGAUAAUCACCUCUGAGCUUCCAGAUUUCAUCAGGCUGCUUCAACCUGAACUU